GCAUGGGUGCUUCAGUGGUAGGAUUCCCGCCUGCCACGCGGGAGGCCCGGGUUCAAUUUCUGGCCCGUGCA
RNAcentral lists this transfer RNA (71 nucleotides) under Bos taurus (domestic cattle). It matches the Rfam family "tRNA". Rfam says of the family: Transfer RNA (tRNA) molecules are approximately 80 nucleotides in length. Their secondary structure includes four short double-helical elements and three loops (D, anti-codon, and T loops). Further hydrogen bonds mediate the characteristic L-shaped molecular structure. tRNAs have two regions of fundamental functional importance: the anti-codon, which is responsible for specific mRNA codon recognition, and the 3' end, to which the tRNAs corresponding amino acid is attached (by aminoacyl-tRNA synthetases). tRNAs cope with the degeneracy of the genetic code in two manners: having more than one tRNA (with a specific anti-codon) for a particular amino acid; and 'wobble' base-pairing, i.e. permitting non-standard base-pairing at the 3rd anti-codon position. Lineage: Eukaryota; Metazoa; Chordata; Mammalia; Artiodactyla; Bovidae. RNAcentral also lists the same sequence under 1 other name. The record is from Rfam by way of RNAcentral.